RNAcentral lists this ribosomal RNA (451 nucleotides) under uncultured bacterium. Its description in RNAcentral is "SSU rRNA". It matches the Rfam family "Bacterial small subunit ribosomal RNA", at positions 26 to 518 of the family's 1533-position model. The record is from RNAcentral.
AGGAUGAACGCUGGCGGUCUGCUUAACACAUGCAAGUCGAACGGAGUACCUCGGUACUUAGUGGCGGACGGGUGAGUAACGCGUGAGAAUCUGCCCUUAGGUCGGGGACAACCAUUGGAAACGAUGGCUAAUACCGGAUAAGCCGAGAGGUAAAAGAUUAAUUGCCUAGGGAAGAGCUCGCGUCUGAUUAGCUAGUUGGUGAGGUAAAGGCUCACCAAGGCAUCGAUCAGUAGCUGGUCUGAGAGGAUGAUCAGCCACACUGGGACUGAGACACGGCCCAGACUCCUACGGGAGGCAGCAGUGGGGAAUUUUCCGCAAUGGGCGAAAGCCUGACGGAGCAAGACCGCGUGGAGGGAGGAAGGCUCUUGGGUUGUAAACCUCUUUUCUUGGGGAAGAACAAAAUGACGGUACCCAAGGAAUCAGCAUCGGCCAACUCCGCGCCAGCAGCCGC